This 92-nucleotide transfer RNA is filed under the name Candidatus Berkelbacteria bacterium. Its description in RNAcentral is "tRNA-Ser". It matches the Rfam family "tRNA". From Rfam's summary of the family: Transfer RNA (tRNA) molecules are approximately 80 nucleotides in length. Their secondary structure includes four short double-helical elements and three loops (D, anti-codon, and T loops). The record is from RNAcentral. Lineage: Bacteria; Candidatus Berkelbacteria.
GGAAGCGUGCCAGAGCCCGGUUGAUCGGGCCCGCCUUGAAAGCGGGUAGGGUCGCAAGACUCUCGGGGGUUCGAAUCCCUCCGCUUCCGCCA